UUCCAGACUCCUACGGGAGGCAGCAGUGGGGAAUAUUGCACAAUGGGGGAAACCCUGAUGCAGCGACGCCGCGUGAGUGAAGAAGUAAUUCGUUAUGUAAAGCUCUAUCAGCAGGGAAGAAAAUGACGGUACCUGACCAAGAAGCCCCGGCUAACUACGUGCCAGCAGCCGCGGUAAUACGUAGGGGGCAAGCGUUAUCCGGAUUUACUGGGUGUAAAGGGAGCGUAGACGGCAAGGCAAGUCUGGAGUGAAAGCCCGUGGCUCAACCACGGGACUGCUUUGGAAACUGUGUUGCUGGAGUGCAGGAGGGGUAAGCGGAAUUCCUAGUGUAGCGGUGAAAUGCGUAGAUAUCAGGAGGAACACCGGUGGCGAAGGCGGCCUGCUGGACUGCAACUGACGUUGAGGCCCGAAAGCGUGGGGAGCAAACAGGAUUAGAUACCCUGGUAA
RNAcentral lists this ribosomal RNA (447 nucleotides) under uncultured bacterium. RNAcentral's name for it is "bacterial SSU rRNA". It matches the Rfam family "Bacterial small subunit ribosomal RNA", at positions 329 to 793 of the family's 1533-position model. The record is from RNAcentral.